This 910-nucleotide ribosomal RNA is filed under the name Escherichia coli. RNAcentral describes it as "partial 23S ribosomal RNA". It matches the Rfam family "Bacterial large subunit ribosomal RNA", at positions 323 to 1237 of the family's 2925-position model. Lineage: Bacteria; Pseudomonadati; Pseudomonadota; Gammaproteobacteria; Enterobacterales; Enterobacteriaceae. The record is from RNAcentral.
UGUGUGUUAGUGGAAGCGUCUGGAAAGGCGCGCGAUACAGGGUGACAGCCCCGUACACAAAAAUGCACAUGCUGUGAGCUCGAUGAGUAGGGCGGGACACGUGGUAUCCUGUCUGAAUAUGGGGGGACCAUCCUCCAAGGCUAAAUACUCCUGACUGACCGAUAGUGAACCAGUACCGUGAGGGAAAGGCGAAAAGAACCCCGGCGAGGGGAGUGAAAAAGAACCUGAAACCGUGUACGUACAAGCAGUGGGAGCACGCUUAGGCGUGUGACUGCGUACCUUUUGUAUAAUGGGUCAGCGACUUAUAUUCUGUAGCAAGGUUAACCGAAUAGGGGAGCCGAAGGGAAACCGAGUCUUAACUGGGCGUUAAGUUGCAGGGUAUAGACCCGAAACCCGGUGAUCUAGCCAUGGGCAGGUUGAAGGUUGGGUAACACUAACUGGAGGACCGAACCGACUAAUGUUGAAAAAUUAGCGGAUGACUUGUGGCUGGGGGUGAAAGGCCAAUCAAACCGGGAGAUAGCUGGUUCUCCCCGAAAGCUAUUUAGGUAGCGCCUCGUGAAUUCAUCUCCGGGGGUAGAGCACUGUUUCGGCAAGGGGGUCAUCCCGACUUACCAACCCGAUGCAAACUGCGAAUACCGGAGAAUGUUAUCACGGGAGACACACGGCGGGUGCUAACGUCCGUCGUGAAGAGGGAAACAACCCAGACCGCCAGCUAAGGUCCCAAAGUCAUGGUUAAGUGGGAAACGAUGUGGGAAGGCCCAGACAGCCAGGAUGUUGGCUUAGAAGCAGCCAUCAUUUAAAGAAAGCGUAAUAGCUCACUGGUCGAGUCGGCCUGCGCGGAAGAUGUAACGGGGCUAAACCAUGCACCGAAGCUGCGGCAGCGACACUGUGUGUUGUUGGGUAGGGGAGC